This 1025-nucleotide long non-coding RNA is filed under the name Callithrix jacchus (white-tufted-ear marmoset). RNAcentral's name for it is "lncRNA (ENSCJAG00000087054.1)". Lineage: Eukaryota; Metazoa; Chordata; Mammalia; Primates; Cebidae. The record is from RNAcentral.
GAUCCCUGUUACUGUGCGUCUCCUCCCAAGGCAGCUCAGUGUCAUCACAGCAUCUCAGUGUGCUGAUCACCGGCAGAGCAGGGCAAGCGCCAAGCACUGACAACACGCUGGAGGCUGUGGGCAGCUCCUCUCCACUCUCCCACCCCAGCAGGCUGAGAUGUUUAUAAACGAGCCCUACAACCUAAAACCGGUGGUGAAGAAUCACUUUCCUGCUGCAGCUGCCGCUGAACCGCAGGGAGCUUCCAGGACUCCCCUCGGUUCUGAUCUUUUCUUUCCCCUCCCUGAGCCUCCCUCUGCCUGCCGUGGUUGUUGCUUUCCUGGGCUCCUGGGGCUCUUUGGACCACACUGAGGCUGGUUUCUCUGCAGGAGGGACCCUGGCUGGAGCCCCUCGCUGAGCUCACACCGGGCUCUCAAGAGGUAUGCGCCCUCCUGCCUGCUCACCUCUGCCCCACUGUCCACACUACCUGCAGGGGUCUCUUCUCCUGCUGCCCACCUCUGGCCAGCCCCUUCCUCCGGGGCUGCUCCCUGGUCACUUAUCUGCAUUUCCUCCCACCUCCCCAGAACAGCUGCCCUCCCCACUCAGUCUCCAUCCAAGCCCCAACACCAGUAUUCCCAAUGACCCCAGCCAGCUGCUCUCCACUGCUACCAGUGCCCCCACAGGGAUGGCGAGUCUCUGGAAGAAAGUGGUGGCUCAACACGUCAAUUUCUCACUCCUGAUGAUUGUUCCACUUCCUGGCCCAGCUCUAUGGGAUUAUUUGAAGCCCCAGUCAUUGGACCUGCAGGAUUCCCUGACCGGAGAUUCUCUUCCCAAGCGGGACAUACGUGGGUUCCUGCACCCCAUGGGUUCUCUUCUACAAUACGAUUGCAUGCCACUUAUUUGGAACAUAAAUAUUUCCCCAUCUUCUGGCCUGCCUGAAGUAUUUUGGCUUAAAAAUGAUGGUAGAAUGCAGAAGAUUGUAAUAAAGCAACAAUCUCAUAGAAGAACAUGUUCAGAAGUAUCUGGAGUAAAAUGGAGAUUUGCUUAA